GGCCUUGCUUGGCAAACAUACUUAAAGGUAUGGGCGCAAAGUCUCCGGCCUAAGGGAAACUAUGGUAGCGGGAUUGCGACA
This 81-nucleotide non-coding RNA is filed under the name Candidatus Gallionella acididurans. RNAcentral describes it as "c-di-GMP-I riboswitch aptamer". It matches the Rfam family "c-di-GMP-I riboswitch aptamer". Rfam says of the family: GEMM was predicted in a large-scale screen for bacterial structured RNA regulatory elements. RNAcentral also lists the same sequence under 1 other name. Lineage: Bacteria; Pseudomonadati; Pseudomonadota; Betaproteobacteria; Nitrosomonadales; Gallionellaceae. The record is from Rfam by way of RNAcentral.